RNAcentral lists this ribosomal RNA (240 nucleotides) under uncultured bacterium. Its description in RNAcentral is "partial 16S ribosomal RNA". It matches the Rfam family "Bacterial small subunit ribosomal RNA", at positions 15 to 245 of the family's 1533-position model. The record is from RNAcentral.
AAUCAUGGCUCAAGAUGAACGCUAGCUACAGGCUUAACACAUGCAAGUCGAGGGGCAGCAUUUUAGUUUGCUUGCAAACUAAAGAUGGCGACCGGCGCACGGGUGAGUAACACGUAUCCAACCUGCCGAUAACUCAGGGAUAGCCUUUCGAAAGAAAGAUUAAUACCUGAUGGCAUAGGAUUAUCGCAUGAUAAUCCUAUUAAAGAAUUUCGGUUAUCGAUGGGGAUGCGUUCCAUUAGG